CAGACACUUCGGGAGCUGAGAGCGACCAUCAUUCAAAUAAAUUCUACCCGACUGGACCUGUCUUUGACGGAGGGAUUGUCGUCCUGGAUCACCUCAGCAGUCUCUUAUUUCAAGGAAUGGGUGGGAGUGGGACUUUUUGGAGUGAUCCUCUGCUGUGGAUUAGUGUUACUCCUCUGGUUGCUUUGCAAAUUGAGAUCUCAAACAAGAAAGGACAAAGUAGUGAUCGCCCAAGCGCUUGUAGCCCUUGAACAAGGAGCGUCAGCCGAUAUCUGGUUGACCAUGCUCAAGCAACAGGUCGCCGGCUGGACAGCUCUUGCACUCCUAGAACCUCGGUUCAUUGCACAGGAUUAGAGUGUCCGGCUUGAGCAGCCCAUGAGGGGUGACGAGCUUAGCAUCGCACAGGGAAGUUCUACCAAAUAUGCUCCCUGGAAGGCAUGUCAUAUUACAUGAGGGUUUCUGCCCCAGUUUUCCCUCCCUCGAAAAAUGGCAGUGCGAUGGGUCGGGAGUGCCCUGGGUCCCAACAACAGCCUAAGGGUAUCUCUCUUGUACAGGUUCGCCAACUUCGUACGAGGAUAUGACCUCUGUCUUCACCCUCCUAUAUCUGGGUGUCCUGUUUGCUUAAAAA
RNAcentral lists this long non-coding RNA (625 nucleotides) under Rattus norvegicus (Norway rat). Its description in RNAcentral is "long non-coding RNA NONRATT007163". Lineage: Eukaryota; Metazoa; Chordata; Mammalia; Rodentia; Muridae. The record is from RNAcentral.